This 72-nucleotide transfer RNA is filed under the name Camelus bactrianus (Bactrian camel). It matches the Rfam family "tRNA". Rfam says of the family: Transfer RNA (tRNA) molecules are approximately 80 nucleotides in length. Their secondary structure includes four short double-helical elements and three loops (D, anti-codon, and T loops). Further hydrogen bonds mediate the characteristic L-shaped molecular structure. tRNAs have two regions of fundamental functional importance: the anti-codon, which is responsible for specific mRNA codon recognition, and the 3' end, to which the tRNAs corresponding amino acid is attached (by aminoacyl-tRNA synthetases). tRNAs cope with the degeneracy of the genetic code in two manners: having more than one tRNA (with a specific anti-codon) for a particular amino acid; and 'wobble' base-pairing, i.e. permitting non-standard base-pairing at the 3rd anti-codon position. The record is from Rfam by way of RNAcentral. Lineage: Eukaryota; Metazoa; Chordata; Mammalia; Artiodactyla; Camelidae. RNAcentral also lists the same sequence under 2 other names.
GAGGGCAUAGCUCAGUGGUAGAGCCCAUGAUUAGCAUGCAUGAGGUCCUGGGUUCAGUCCCCAGUAUCUCCU